Molecule: long non-coding RNA, 374 nt
Filed under: Homo sapiens (human)
Lineage: Eukaryota; Metazoa; Chordata; Mammalia; Primates; Hominidae
Description: non-protein coding RNF219-AS1:18
Source: RNAcentral
UAAGAAGAAAGCCCAAAGACAAAACCAGAGGCAACUGGCUGCUGCAUCGCCCACCUAGUGGCAGUAGUGUGAGCUAUGGACAAAAGAUCUAAGUCUCCAGGACAAAGAGUUGUGCAGCUGCUCAUUUUCCUGUUGACUUCUGUCUAAGACUUGGAGAUGUUUGUAAGAUUGGGACCUACCUACAGAGCUCCAGAGGGAAGUGAGAAGGAUGUUCACUUGCUGGUGAGAGAAGGAGCUGGUUCCAUCCAUUACGCAGUCCCCUGGGAGCGCUAAAUGCAACUUUAUCUCAACGGGGAGUGGACGAUGAGCAGGACGUCGCUAGAGGGAAAGAGUGAGUCCUACGGCCUCACUUCCCGUUUCCUUUGGCAGCGCCC